This is a long non-coding RNA of Eleginops maclovinus (Patagonian blennie), 2927 nucleotides long. RefSeq lists it as uncharacterized. The record is from RefSeq and is a predicted model, not a curated record. NCBI's taxonomy places the organism in Eukaryota, Metazoa, Chordata, Actinopteri, Perciformes, Eleginopidae. The transcript is spliced from 3 exons.
UGUACACUCUGCUGCACACUCUGCUGUACACUCUGCUGCACACUCUGCUGUACACUCUGCUGUACACACUGCUGUACACUCUGCUGUACACUCUGCUGUACACUCUGCUGUACACUCUGCUGCACACUCUGCUGCACACUCUGCUGUACACUCUGCUGUACACUCUGCUGUACACUCUGCUGUACACUCUGCUGUACCAACCCUGUCUCACGGCAUUUUGUGUUAUAGUCACAAAGUGUAAUCUAUUGAUGUGUCUUGAUGUGAUUUUCCCUCUUUUUUUUCGUGUCACAGAACACAUUUAAAAACAAUGUAUUUCUAGAUGUUUGCAUAUCUGUUGUUGCUGUCUGUCUGGUCGUCUGUCUGUAUCUGUGUGUUGCAAUGGCAACAAAACAUAACCUGGACCCCAAUAAUCCCAACUACCAUGGCUCUUGAGAUUAAGCUUGGCCACAUGCUAGCUGGAUCUAAGGUUAGUACCGGUACUUUUAUAUCCAUCAUUCAUUUCAAACUUCACCAUGCAGCUGCUUUGCCUCACCACAUCUCGACCCAGUUUAAAACCUAUUAAAGAGGUUGGACUUCCUUACACCACAACACCAAAAGAGGAAGUGUUUUGUUUGAAUAAAAAGAAAUUGCAGAGUUUCAGAGUAUUGUUUCAAAGGCUUUUAAAGCUGUUUAACACCUAACCUACACAGCAUGUUGGGAUUUCUUUUAGUUUGUCAUCUGUCUUUUUGUUUCAGUAUAUGUUAAUCAAAGUUAAAUGAUGUUUUUACUUUAACACAGAAAGCAGCUGAGGAGAGCAAAAGAUCACGCUCUGGAGGAUGAGGGGUGGUGGCUUUCAGUUAUCCAGUGAGGAGGUUCCAGUUACUGGACCCUCAGCACAACUCAAUCCCAAAGAGGAAUUUGGUAAAUCAAAAGCCGUUCUAUAUAACAGUAAGUUUGUAAUUAACCAUAUACACAACUGACAUUAUAGCAAAUUGGUUACAAUUUAUUAAGGAUUCAGACUGAACCCAGAAAUCGUGUGUUUAUUUUUCAUAUUGAUCAAUUAAUCAUUAACGGUCAUUUUUCUAUCCUCCUUUUAUGGUUCACAUUCCUAUUUGUUUUACAGAAAAGAACAUGCAGAAGCUCUUGGCUAUUCUCUCAUCAUGUCCACUUGCUGAGCCUCCAAAAAGCUCUGCAUCAUCGCGGUCUGUUUCGGCAGCAGAAAGCCUCAGAUUUAAAAUAAAAAACAAUAAUAAUAGCUUGAUAUCGAGUAAGACAAAUAUUGAUAACCACACAGCUUCUGGUCUCUUAAGACCCGACCGAACUAAAAGGCGCGGUGCAGGCACGAAAUACAUAUUUUUUUAAAUGGGGAAAUCGUGCAGUGGACAUCUUUAAGUCGUCAUUCAAAACUCACUUGUUCACCAUGGUCUUUGACCCUUUGACACAGUCUCCCUGCUUCCACUCCCACUGCUAUUUAAAAGUGUUUGUUUGUUUAUUUUUAUUUUUGUUUUAGUGUUUUCCACCAUGUAAAGCAGCCCUGGGUCCCUUAAAGGCGAUAUUCACUUUUUAUCUUUUAUUAUUAUUAUUGUUAUUUUUGUUAUUAUGAUGAUGAUGAUGAUGAUGAUUAUUAUUAUUAAUAAUAAGAAUAAUUGCAAUUAAUUUGGAAGUCAGUGAAGAUAUUUGAGAAGAGAACAUUGACAUUUAGCAAUGCCUCCAACUCCCACCCUACUAAAUGAGCCUCAGCUGAUCUGCCCCGGAGGCAGCCCUGUCUUCAGAUUCUCUAGUCCUGCUGGAAUCUGACCCACUGAUGUUUGUGCUCCCGCAGGUCUUCACGCGCUGGAUGAAGACGUAGCGUUCGGCUGCCAGUAGAAGAAGAGGCAGAGGAGGCCGAUCAGAGGCCUUGAGGAGCCCCCGCAGAGGCGGUUUCGUGAGGGAUACCCCAGCCUUCCACCUCCUCCUCUGGAGGAGGUCUGGCUGAGUUCAGCCAGGACCCCUCCGGGAGCCUGUGGAGGGCCCCCAGCCAGACGGUGCCACAGCCCUGCAGCUCUUGUCCGAGCCCCCUGGUCUCUACCCCUCUGCUUUUGAUGCAGUUUUGAUGCACACACACACAAACAGCCUGCAUGCAUGCACACAUCUAGAAAUGUAUUUAAAAAUCUACCAAGUUAACAUAAUGUCUUCAUGACAGGGUAAGGGGGUUAGGGACACACUUAAUAUAAUAGUUAAAAAUUGUACUCGAAAAUGUAACGCGAGGUCAGGAGUGAACAGCACGAUAACAUAGUAUGUUAUAAAAUAUAAUAUAAGUCAUAGUACACUAUUCCAUUAAAAAUUCAAAACAGUAUAUCAAUGAAAAUCCAUAAAAUAGUAUCUAAUAAAAUAUGUAUUAUGUAUAGUAUUUCAUCACUAAGUAACAAUACAGUAUGUCUUAAAAUAAUUGAUAACAUAGUUUGUCAUCAUUUAAAAAAAAUAAUUUAAAAUAUCAUAGUAGAGCAUCUCAAAGAAUUAUUGAUAAUGUAGUAUGUCAUAAACACGUGUUGAUAUCAAAGUAUACCAUUCAAAAGACAACGUUUAUUAUGCCUUAAAAAAACAAACCUGUAAUAUGCUUUUGAAUUGUCAUAUAGUGUAGGUUGUCAUUAAAAAUAAUUGAUUAUAUAAUACGUCAUAAAAGCUCAAUAGUAAAGUAUACCAUAAAAAAGACAACAUGUAUAUCAUUUAAUAGUCCUAUAAUAGUACACCAAAAAAAAGGCCACUGCGACAUGCUUUUGCCAGUCACUAUUUUCUGUUUGUCCCUGAAGGUAUCACAGGAGCUGCAGAUUCAGAGCUGCUGCUCCAGAGUCUCAGCGGCAAAGCUCCACUCUCUUCCUCCUGGACUCACCCUGCAGCCUCUGCUCAUCCUGGCCUGUGGUUACUGAUGGACAUACUGAUAAUCUGUGGCUCUUUACAAUAAAUAAACC